UUUAGUUUAGUGAACAAACCUGUGGCACCAGGACAAUGACUGGGAGAGAGAUGUUGCAGGGAUCUGUUUAUCCUCCCUCAGGCUCAUCAGGCUCGGGGUGUUCCGUUGCCACACACUCGGUGCAAAGUCAAAUAAUGUUUUUUUUUUUCUUUUAAUUGCCAGCAUUUUUGAACUUUUAAGUAAGCAUCUAAAAGAGAAGCUCUCCUGCCUCUACCAACUCCCACAGAGAGAACAUUUUGAGUUUAGCAUCCCUACAGUAGAUGCAGCAUCUCACAGCUCCGCGGUAGUGACAGUGCCAUAAAAAGAAGAUGUGAUGAAAAGGGAUGCAAACUCUUGAUUUGCAUGCCGUGCAUUCUCACUGGUGCCCAGAACAGAUCACAGAGCAGAGGACAGAAACUCAGAGACUUGCUGGAUGCAGCACUGGGGUCCCAGGCAGAAACUGCAUCCCUAGUUCCUCAGCACGGAUGAGCGCAGGCAUGGGAAGCUGCCCCACAGCUGAAUUAGUGUUUUCCUAGUCUCCAACAGCUUCCUGGCUGACACAGAUGCUACACCUGCUCUGUGCUGCUCUGCCAGGCCCUCAGUGCCUACAGUGGAGUGCCAGGAAUGGAGAUUCCAAAACUUCCAGCAUGAUCUUCACGUGAUGCCAACGAUGGUACGGCUGCACCCACUCAGGGAUUUCUGGAUGUCACAAAAAUGGUCACCUAUUGUAAAUAGUCAACUACUUGCACUGGAAUCUAGUACUGAGUAUGCAAUUAUGCAUGUUUUUAUCAGGUCACUGAAUUAAUUCCAUGGGCUGCAGCAGUUCAUUACACACACAAAGAGAGAUGGACACUUUGUCUGAUACAAUUAUCCUCCAAUCUAAGUAACCGCUGAUAAAGAGCUUCAUUCUCUGAGCUGCCACAAACUGAAGCUGCUCACCUUUAUCCUGGAAUUCAGGGCCCCAUUCCACUGCCGCUUCCCUCAUCAAGUGAUCCUUGUCUCUCCAGGCUGCUGCAUUAUUAUAUAACCACCCAUGUGCAAAAGCUGGAUGCAAACCCAGCUCAAGAGCCAAGCACAGCCACUUUCAGGUGUCUAUUUGGAGAGAGGUGCCAACUCCCAGCUGACCAAUUCCCACUGCCAACAGCCUCCAAGUGUCACAAGUGUGAUUCUCCCCUGCCUUGAGCUCCACAGAGUCACUUCUAUACCUGUGAAAAUCAGGAUGGAGGAAUUUGACAACCUCUUUGCAGGAGUGUGAACAGCACACAGGAACACCAGAGCAGGUCUCCAAAGCAGCACGUUGGCAUCAGCCUGAGGUAAAGUGAAUCCUCCACCUGGAUCAGAUUGAUUCCCCCGAGGUGCAGCAUUUAAAUGUGCAACAUUUGCACAUGCAGGGCACGAUGCACUGGAGAAUUAGGCCUGCAGUUGAUAAAAGACACUAAAAUUACAAUGAAAAAGGUGGGAUGGAGAGAGGAGAAAAUGGUGUUUGAACAGCAGAGUCCAAGAGAACACAUUAUCUUUUUGAAGCUGCUCACAUUCCAGUGAAGGAGCUUUAGCCUUUCCUUCAGGAAGGGGGUGAAUUUCUCCCAGUGUGCCUGACCAGAGAUUAACAGAAAACACAAAGGUCAAAUAUCAUGAGUAGCAAUACUUAAUACUUGUUCAAACCCCACUAUUUAAUGUGCACAUAAGGCCUUAAGGUGCAUUCUGGCAUAUGAAGCCUGGAACAAAAUCAGUGCAGAGGUUACUUCAGAUCCAAAAGAUCAAUGUGGUGCUGCUGCUACCUGGAGAAUUGUUCCUACCAAGAGGCAGGAAUUCUUCAGACACAGGAACAUCCUCUCACUAACACCACCUUUCAGAACCCAAGUCAUCAAUUCUCUGCCACAAAACGUCCCCCUUUUACUCCCCAGAGGAUUCAGUGUCUUCCUUAAAGUAGCAGAAAUCAUCUAGGCCAACUGGGCAGGGAGCCACCAGCCCAGCAGUUCUCAAGGGCUACUAAAUACAAGUUUCAGGAGGGAGUUUUACAUAUAAGGUGGGUAUUUAAGUUAUAUUUAAGAGCAUCACAAUGCACAUAACCAGGAGUGAUGAACACAGGCAGCUCCAUAGGACGUAUCUCGUGUCUCAAACAUUUGCUGACCUUCAUUGCUGAGGACAGUGACAGAUGAGGUCAUUCCAAGGCUUCUUUCCAAGUUCCUCGUUCCAAGGCUUGGACUUCAUUUUCAAGGGCUGCAUUUCCUUUCCAUGAAGGUCAAGAGGAGAAAAGACAGCAUAGGACAUAUCACUUAAUGGAGUUUCAUAAGAUUCCUGAAGGAGAUCCAUCCAGGGAUGGGGCAGUCACAGCUUCUCUGGGCAACCUGUGCCCAGGGCAUCACCACCCUCUCAGGGAAGAAUUUUUUUCCCUAAUAUGUAAUCUGAACCUACCUUGUUCAAUUUGAAGCCAUUCCUCUUUGUCCUGUCAUGACACACUCUUGUAAAAAUAACUCUCUGUCUCUCUUGUAGGCUCCCUUUAUCAUUAUUAUCAUCUUUAGAGGAUGGUCAAGGAAGAGGAGGGAUGAAGUUGGCCAUUCUUCAUCUUUGGAGACACAGUUUCCAGCUCCUGAGUAAUCAUCUGCUGAGAUCAGGAAGAGAAACAUCAUAACAGCAGGCAGAAAAAAAUCAAAAUUAAUUAGGAAUUCAGAGAGCUGGAGCAAAGGGCUUAGGCAAAUAUGGGGAACAUAAGCACCAGGAAUGUGAUCUUGUCCAGUUCUUUCAGUGAAGGGCCAGACUCAUUAAGGGAUAAGAACCAGGGUUCAUGUUCACAUGGUAUAACUGGGGUGGAACGUGGCUUCUUUGACCACAGAAUGUAUCUCAUGAGCUGGUGAUGAGACGAGCGCUGCCUCCUGACAAAGGAAGAACACCUUUGCUUACAAAAUUCCUCCUGGAGGAAGAUUUUAGCUGCUCAUGAAGGAAAGGUGGACAGAAACUUUUGAGGAAAAAUUCCUUCAUAGGAAAGGAAUGACAAGGAUUGGAACAGGCUGCCCAGGGAAGUGUUGAGGUCACCGUCCCUGGAGGUAUUCAAAGGUGUUGAUGGGGACGUGGUUUAGUGGUGGACUCGAUACUGUUGGGUUAAUGGUUGGGCUCAGUGAUCUUGAACAACUCUUCUAACCUAAAUAAUUCCAAAUUCAAGGUGUGUGUAAGCACCAGUGACUUUUGCAAGGACCUAAAAUCAAAGCCAUUCAUGAAAAGGCCCUGAAAGGGAUGAAGUCCAUGAAUGACUCAAUCCAUUGAACAAGCCUGAUUAUUCCCCUUUUAUUUCCUAUCUUUUUGCAUCAGCACAGACAUCUCACAUCAAGGUCACAAGUUACUGGUGCAGCUGCUGUGCACUGGUUUGUUCAGUGCUUAUCUAGGCUUAUUAUUUAUAGGGAGGGUCUGAAUACAAGUGUCCAGGUAAUGAUAGAAGAGGAAAGGAACACAUUGGGGACUAAAAAUAGAUCACUGAUAUAGAAGCAUCGGUAGAUUAAAUCAUUUGGGGGUAAUGGAAGAGUCACACAGGUUGCAGGAGCUGUUGAUUUGAGGGAUUUGAGGGAUUUUUGUAGGAAACUACAGCAGUUAAGGGAAGCUGUCCCUCAGAGAAAGGGCACACACACCUCCCCACUACACAGAGGAAUCCAGAUGAAGUAUAAAAUUGUAGUAAGAGAUUGAACUAAGUGGAGAAUUGACCUCACAAGAACAAAGCAUGCACAGAUUAUGUCGCAGCACUGCAGAUAAUUUCUGAAGGAAAUAGGGGCCAACGCUGGAAGCCGAGAAACGAAAAGAAGUUCAGCCUGCAAAAGGCACCAGUGGGAAUUAAUCUGUAAGUAGGAGGUGCUGGGAGAGUCUUGUCCCACUUCCCAACAGGAAGGAAAGCUACAGAUUAUACUCAGUAGAAUAAAGAGUAUUUUAUGUGGGGUUUUUUUCCUCAGCCUUCACUGGAAAGACCUGUGGGGAGCAAGGGACUGGUGUUGUUCAAACCAAGAAGGAGAUCCUGCCCUAUAACUGGGUAGGAUAUAACAGAAAAGUCAAUGUUUUCAAAUCAAUUAACCCAAAAUAAUACACUGAAGGACAGUCUGAGACAACAUCCAGUCUACCUGAGCAUUCAUGGAGAAUGAGGGAAACUCUAGCAGGUUGGAAAGAGUGAAUGCAGUACCUGUCUUUAACAUGGAGGAUGUUUGGCAGAAAAGGGAAGAGCAACUGGUGAAUUAUGGACCACUCACCUUAACUCAAGCUCUUUAAAAAAUAAAAACUGCUUUAGGCACCAGAAAACACAAGGCAAGAGCUGCCAGAAUGGCUUUAUCAAGAGCACACUGCAUUGAACCAGCCUAAUUUCAUUCCACAGUAGAUCAACACAGGCUAAGGAAGAAGCUGAGAAGGUCAGAUAUUUUGAUUUUAUUAAGACAUUACACCAUCUGCCACAGUUUUCUUUAUAAAGAAAGAGGGAAGCUUAGUCUAGAACGAGUUACCCAGUCAUGGUUACAAAACCAGCUGUAAAACUCUGGCAGGGGAGGGUGAUCAGGGGCUCAUGGACAGCAUGGAAGGAUGUGUUGAGUUGGGUCUGUAUUGUCCAAUUCUGCCUUAGAUGAAUUGAUGUUCUGAAUGGUGGAAUCAACUACACUUGUAAAGUAUGCAAGAAUUUUAGAGGGUAAGAUUAGCACUCAAAAUUAUCUUAGAAAAGCGAAGAAAAGACCAGAUUCAAUUCCAACAGCUACACAGACUAUUCCCCUAAAACAAGAAUAAUUGGCUACAAAACCCCAGAGGAAUGGAAAGAACCAAAGAACAACUCACCUUCCCCAAACAGGCUAAAUCUUGCAUAUUCCCUCCUGGAAUAUCUGAAUCUUUCUUAUUCUAGGGAGUCAGGCACAGGAGGAGCAGUGCAUCCCACUCCUGACAGAGACAACAAGGUUUAAACAGCUGUGCUUGAAAACGCCUUCAUGACUCUUUGCCACCCCAGAGCCUCUGCUUUAAAUGGCUUCCAAAUUGUUCUUAUGUUGCUUUGAGCCAAACGUCUCUUCAAGGUGUUCAGCACUUCAGAAAUGUAGGACAGAUGUUUUGUCAGCUGUUUGUGAACUACAACAGACUUGUGUCUGCCAGAGCCCCGGGAGAGGAUCUUGAGAGAGAACGAAACAUGUUUGGCUGCCUCGCUGAGACAUUUGGUGGAGGAGGAGGAGGUGAGAGGAGGCCUUUACCAAGAAAGGCUCCAGAACACUGACUGAGUCACCCCAGAAUCAGGACCCCAGGAAUAAUUGUGACUGGGGAGGAGCCCUCAUGGCAAUUCUAAAAUGUCAUUGUCUUGAAGGCCCCUAAAACACGUGGGCUGCCUGGAGCAGGCUGGGGAAAGCAACAGAGUGGAAAAGCAUCAGAGCACAAAAGCAGAUUCUAAUAAGUGCAGCACUAAAAAAAAAAAUCUUCUCAGUCCUUUUGAGUCAAGUGAAUUAGAGCAGCUGAAUGUUCCUUUCUCAUUUUUGGGCGGCGAUCACAAAAAACAGAUGUUAGGCUGUGUUAAUUUUUGUCACUGGCAUCCUGCCCCCCCUGGCAAGAUUAAAACAACUCUUGGCAUCCUUGGAGCAGCUGGGCGGCAAAGCUGCUUCCUUUACUCACACAAUGCCACUCUGAAUAACCUCUAAGCCUCAAAUCUUGGUGCUUUGUAAUCCAUGUCCUGGCAGUUUUGUCCUCCACUCCCCCUGUUCAAACAUGGUAUUCCCCAGUCCUUACAGAGCCUGGUAUGUAUCUUUAAUGCACCAUAAGUGGUGAUGAAAAAUAGAUGUGUAGAAUCCACGACAUCUCUGACACUCAGUUAACUUUCCCCGCAGAAGGAAGGACAUUUUCAGGGUUGUCUUUGCAGUUUAACUUCUUAAGAUAUUUCUGUAUUCAAGCUUCAUCAAUAAAGCAGGAAAAAGACUUCAUUGUUGGGCAUUUUACCUGGAUGUCUAAUAUAAAACACGAUUUUACAUGAACACUGAAUGCUUCUGACAUCAGACAUAUGAUUUAAAAGUGAAAAAGGCAGUCAUAAAUCAUUCGAAGAAUGAGGGCUAUUAAGUCCAGCAUUGGUAGGUGGAAUGAGAAAAGGGUGACUUAUUUUCUUUUGCUAGAAGCUAAAUGUGAUGUCUUCUGUGAAUAAAAAAUAAAAAUAAAAAAUAGAAAUAGAAAUAAAAAUAAAAAU
Molecule: long non-coding RNA, 6148 nt
Organism: Corapipo altera (White-ruffed manakin)
Lineage: Eukaryota; Metazoa; Chordata; Aves; Passeriformes; Pipridae
Exons: 2
Source: RefSeq, a predicted model, not a curated record